RNAcentral lists this ribosomal RNA (2898 nucleotides) under Parasutterella excrementihominis. Its description in RNAcentral is "23S ribosomal RNA". It matches the Rfam family "Bacterial large subunit ribosomal RNA". Lineage: Bacteria; Pseudomonadati; Pseudomonadota; Betaproteobacteria; Burkholderiales; Sutterellaceae. The record is from RNAcentral.
GUUAUAGGAUCAAGUGACUAAGUGCAUGCGGCGGAUGCCUUGGCGAUCACAGGCGAAGAAAGACGCGGCAGCCUGCGAAAAGCUGCGGGGAGCUGGCAAACGAGCUUUGAUCCGCAGAUAUCUGAAUGGGGAAACCCACACCGCAAGGUGUAUCCGUAGCUCAAUACAUAGGUUACGGAGGCGAACGAGGAGAACUGAAACAUCUAAGUAUCCUCAGGAAAAGAAAUCAACCGAGAUUCCGGCAGUAGCGGCGAGCGAACCCGGAGGAGCCCAGCUUUUGAUAGUACGAACUUUAGCCGAAAGGACCUGGAAAGGCCUGCUAUAGUGGGUGAUAGCCCCGUAGGCGAAAGAGUUGGUACGGUACUAAGGAAGCGAGAAGUAGAGCGGGACACGUGGAAUCCUGUUCGAAGACGGGGGGACCAUCCUCCAAGGCUAAAUACUCGUGAUCGACCGAUAGUGAACCAGUACCGUGAGGGAAAGGCGAAAAGAACCCCGGGAGGGGAGUGAAAUAGAACCUGAAACCGCAUGCAUACAAACAGUAGGAGCCUCGUCAGAGGUGACUGCGUACCUUUUGCAUAAUGGGUCAGCGACUUACAUUCUGUGGCGAGCUUAACCGAAUAGGGGAGGCGCAGCGAAAGCGAGUUCGAAAUGAGCGUUCAGUCGCAGGGUGUAGACCCGAAACCAGAUGAGCUAUCCAUGGCCAGGUUGAAGGUGUGGUAACACACACUGGAGGACCGAACCGACUAGUGUUGCAAAAUUAGCGGAUGAGCUGUGGAUAGGGGUGAAAGGCCAAACAAAUCUGGAGAUAGCUGGUUCUCCCCGAAAACUAUUGAGGUAGUGCCUCGUGUGUCGCUCCAGGGGGUAGAGCACUGUUUUGGCUAGGGGGACAUGGAGUCUUACCAAACCAAGGCAAACUCCGAAUACCUGGAAGCGUAAGCACGGGAGACAGAGCACCGGGUGCUAACGUCCGGACUCAAAAGGGAAACAACCCAGACCGCCGGCUAAGGUCCCAAAUAACAGCUAAGUGGAAAACGAAGUGGAAAGGCCGUGACAACCAGGAAGUUGGCUUAGAAGCAGCCAUCCUUCAAAGAAAGCGUAAUAGCUCACUGGUCGAGUCCUUCUGCGCGGAAGAUGUAACGGGGCUAAGCUGUUAACCGAAGCCGCGGAUGCGCUGGUUAUCCAGUGCGUGGUAGGGGAGCGUUCUGUAAGUCUGCGAAGGCGGUUCGAGAGGACUGCUGGAGAUAUCAGAAGUGCGAAUGCUGACAUGAGUAACGUUAAAGCAGGUGAAAAGCCUGCUCGCCGUAAGCCCAAGGAUUCCUGCUCUACGUUCAUCGGAGCAGGGUGAGUCGGCUCCUAAGGUCAGGCCGAAAGGCGUAGCCGAUGGGAAUCAGGUUAAUAUUCCUGAACCUGCGUCAGAUGCGAUGGGGGGACGGAGCAUGGAAGAUCAUCCGGGUGUUGGAAGUCCCGGUUGUUUAGCGUAGGAGGUCUGCAGGCAAAUCCGCAGACGCAUCUCCAAGGCAAAGACACGUGCCGCCACGGCGGCGAAGUGAUCGGAAGUGCUUCCAAGAAAAGCCUCUAAGCCCCAGUCUGACGCGGACCGUACCGCAAACCGACACUGGUGGGCGAGCUGAAUAUGCUCAGGCGCUUGAGAGAACUCGGGAGAAGGAACUCGGCAAAUUGACACCGUAACUUCGGAAGAAGGUGUGCCGUAGUACCGUGAGAGGAGAGACACCUUGAGCGGGAAACGGUCUCAGAGAAUAGGUGGCUGCGACUGUUUAUUAAAAACACAGCACUCUGCAAAGUCGAAAGACGACGUAUAGGGUGUGAUGCCUGCCCGGUGCUGGAAGAUUAAUUGAUGGGGUGAGAGCCCUUGAUCGAAGUCCCAGUAAACGGCGGCCGUAACUAUAACGGUCCUAAGGUAGCGAAAUUCCUUGUCGGGUAAGUUCCGACCUGCACGAAUGGCAUAACGAUGGCCACACUGUCUCCUCCCGAGACUCAGUGAAGUUGAAAUGUUUGUGAUGAUGCAAUCUACCCGCGGCUAGACGGAAAGACCCCAUGAACCUUUACUGCAGCUUUGCAUUGAACUGUGAACCGAUUUGUGUAGGAUAGGUGGGAGGCAGAGAAGAGGCCACGCCAGUGGCCUUGGAGCCGACCUUGAAAUACCACCCUGAUUUGUUUGCGGUUCUAACCACGGACAGUGAUCCUGUCUUGGGACCGUGCAUGGUAGGCAGUUUGACUGGGGCGGUCUCCUCCUAAAGGGUAACGGAGGAGUACGAAGGUACGCUAGGUACGGUCGGAAAUCGUGCUGAUAGUGCAAUGGCAAAAGCGUGCUUGACUGCGAGAGCAACAACUCGAGCAGAUGCGAAAGCAGGUCAUAGUGAUCCGGUGGCUCUGAAUGGAAGGGCCAUCGCUCAACGGAUAAAAGGUACUCUGGGGAUAACAGGCUGAUACCGCCCAAGAGUUCAUAUCGACGGCGGUGUUUGGCACCUCGAUGUCGGCUCAUCUCAUCCUGGGGCUGUAGUCGGUCCCAAGGGUAUGGCUGUUCGCCAUUUAAAGAGGUACGUGAGCUGGGUUUAAAACGUCGUGAGACAGUUUGGUCCCUAUCUGCCGUGGGCGUUGGAAGAUUGACGGGGGCUGCUCCUAGUACGAGAGGACCGGAGUGGACGCACCUCUGGUGUACCGGUUGUCACGCCAGUGGCAUUGCCGGGUAGCUAAGUGCGGAAGAGAUAACCGCUGAAAGCAUCUAAGCGGGAAACUUGCCUGAAGAUGAGUCUUCCCGGAGGUUGAACCUCCCUCAAGAGUCGUCCGAGACCAGGACGUCGAUAGGUCAGGUGUGUAAGCGCUGUAAGGCGUUAAGCUAACUGAUACUAAUUGCUCGUGAGGCUUGAUCCUAUAACC